RNAcentral lists this ribosomal RNA (614 nucleotides) under uncultured bacterium. RNAcentral's name for it is "bacterial SSU rRNA". It matches the Rfam family "Bacterial small subunit ribosomal RNA", at positions 1 to 653 of the family's 1533-position model. The record is from RNAcentral.
UAGAGUUUGAUCAUGGCUCAGAACGAACGCUGGCGGCAGGCCUAACACAUGCAAGUCGAACGAAGGCCCGGAGCUUGCUCCGGUCACCUUAGUGGCGGACGGGUGAGUAACACGUGGGAACCUACCUAGCAGUACGGAAUAACUGUGGGAAACUGCAGCUAAUACCGUAUACGCCCUACGGGGGAAAGAUUUAUCGCUGUUAGAUGGGCCCGCGCCUGAUUAGCUUGUUGGUGAGGUAAUGGCUCACCAAGGCUACGAUCAGUAGCUGGUCUGAGAGGAUGAUCAGCCACACUGGGACUGAGACACGGCCCAGACUCCUACGGGAGGCAGCAGUGGGGAAUAUUGGACAAUGGGGGCAACCCUGAUCCAGCCAUGCCGCGUGAGUGAAGAAGGCCCUAGGGUUGUAAAACUCUUUCACCGGGGACGAUGAUGACGGUACCCGGAGAAGAAGCCCCGGCUAACUCCGUGCCAGCAGCCGCGGUAAUACGGAGGGGGCUAGCGUUGUUCGGAAUUACUGGGCGUAAAGCGCGCGUAGGCGGUUUAUCAAGUCAGGCGUGAAAGCCCCGGGCUCAACCCGGGAACUGCGCUUGAUACUGGUUGACUGGAGGCCGGGA